Molecule: long non-coding RNA, 1198 nt
Organism: Triticum dicoccoides
Lineage: Eukaryota; Viridiplantae; Streptophyta; Magnoliopsida; Poales; Poaceae
Exons: 3
Source: RefSeq, a predicted model, not a curated record
GACACGGGGUUCGGCGGUUUUCGACUGCUCGGGUGCCGCCACGGUCGCCUCCUCAUCAUACGCUCGCUGCAGCAAGAGAUUAUUGUCAUUGCCCCCAUCACGGGCGAGGAGCACCGCGUGCAAGUUCCACCUGAGUUCAAGAGCGGCUGCUACGUCAAUGGGGCGGUGCUCUGCGCUGCUGCCGACCACAACCAUGUGCACGGAAGCUGCCACUCGAGCCCAUUCAAGGUGGUCUUGCUGUCCAUGGGCAGAUACCUUAUUGGUCCACAGAUUGCCUUAGCACGUGUUUACUAUUCGGAGACUGGCAUAUGGGGUGACCUCAUCUCAACACCGACUCCAUGUCAGCUUCAUGAUACUGGUACACAUGGGUCAUUAGUUGGUAAUGCACUUUACUGGUCGUGCGAUGAUUACAUUUUUCAGUUUGAUUUGGAAGGUCAGAGCCUAGCUUUGAUCAAAGCUCCUCCUCCUCGCACUAUAAAUGAUGCCCGUGACUGCUUUGACAUGUGUGAGGUCAUCGAGAUCAUGGAUGGCGCAUUUGGUCUUGCCAUAUUGUCUCACUAUUACUAUAACAUUCAAAUGUGGCAAAGGAAGGUUAAUUGUCAGGGUGUUGCCAAAUGGGUCCUCUGGAAGACCAUUGAUAUGCAUAACAUUCAUGGAAUCCCCCAUGGGUUUGAAGGAGAGAGUCCAGAGUUAUGUAGACUGAGAUAUGUUGAGGAUACUGAUGAUAUAUUUCUCCAUGUGGGCACCAGUGUCAAUGUGGUUCAACUUAAGUCAAUGCAAUCUAAGAAACUUUGUGAAGCCCAUUAUGUUAAUUGAUAUUAUUCUUUCAAGAGUUUCUAUAUACCAGGCACAACCAUUGUUGGUGGAUGUGAUGGAUCCCAUACAUAGGAUGACAUUCUGUUUUGAUGUGCUGAAUGGUUCACCAGGGUGAAGAAAGGGCUGCUGCAGUUUCUUUUUUAUCAAUGAGUUGGUCGUGCAUCAAUGUGGUCGGCAGUGUUAUGUUAUCUGAAAAAACUUACCAAGUGUGCACUUUAGUCUAGCUAAGUUUCUCAUGUAGUAUGAGCAAGAUGCUUUUGAAUGAAUACCCUUCUAUUAUUUCGAGUCAGAUUUCGUUGUCUUUAGCCAUGACAAUUUUUGCCUCAUGUACCGCUAAAACAUGUGUGUUUGAGUGUGCUUCUCAGCUGUGCUUUGGAAAGCA